Molecule: long non-coding RNA, 2400 nt
Organism: Sorex araneus (European shrew)
Lineage: Eukaryota; Metazoa; Chordata; Mammalia; Eulipotyphla; Soricidae
Exons: 3
Source: RefSeq, a predicted model, not a curated record
UCCUGCUCCCUUCGAAGGGAUAAAGGAGCAGGGUGUGAGGACCCGAAGGGCGAAGGGACACCUCUGGCCACCCUGCCCCAGCCCGCUAGGACCCCCAGCAUGGCCCGGCCCCCCACCCUGCUGGGUCUGACUCUGCUGCUGCCUCUGUUCUAACAGACCUGGGAGCCCACCAGAGCUGCCAACCUGGGAUGAUUGCCAGCAGCUAAUGAAUGUCUUGCUCACGACAGAGGGGAGAGAGAGAAUCCAAAUCCAAGCAGGGAAGCUGGUUCCUGGGAGGACAGACUGCCGACGUCCAACCUGAACCUCAUCAAUGUGGCUUUCCCCUCUCGCGGCCUUUGUGGGACCACAACGUGGCUGAAGACCCUGCAGAGGACACACCCCGGGUGUGGCCAGCACUGAAGCACUCUACCAGUCCCCAGCAGCGCUGCAAGCCCAGGGCUACCAAUCCGGGGCCUGGGUUCUGGUCCGACGACACAGCAGGGCCACUCUCGAGCCCCAGAGAAAAGGGCCCUAUCAAGUGCUUCUUGCCACCCCGACGACUGUGAAGGUGGACAGGAUAGCAAUCUGGGUCCAUCACAGCCACGUCCGAGCGGUGACCUCCAGAGAACUACUGGCUGACCGGCUGGAACCUGCCUGGAAAAUUCCCGACACCCCACAAAUCCCCUGAAGAUCCAGGUUUCCCAAGAUUGACCGACGACAAGGGGAACUGUGCUGCCACCUCGACCCUCCUCCUGCCAUAGCCAGAACCGUAGGACAAGCUCCAUCGAGACACGAUGGUUUUGUGCAUGCUCUACCUACUCCUGCUCACUGUCCAGCGGGGAACCUCUUCCCCGUACGGUCCCAGAGAAGGGGAAUGGCUCCUGACACUCACCAUGUCAGGAAAGGAACUGGCCAGGUACAAUGGGACCGACCAACCAAUCUUUGAAUUGGACCUAUGUUCCCUCCUGGGGGAUGUUGACACAGGACUAGGUGGGGGAGCAGCCCUCCGGACAUUCAUGGACCCUGCUCAAUAUCACUGGGUGCCGGGGACAUCAUUUGUGGGGUGCGGCUGGCCAGGAUAUUAUGAGGCCAAUCUCCUGGCCACUGACUUCUAUAUCUGUCCGGCCAAAGCAAGCCCCGAGUGUGGAGGGCCUGAGGACUAUUAUUGUGCAAAAUGGGGCUGUGAGACUAUCGCCCCUUGGGCAAACAGAGAUGUGGACUUAGAAAUUCAGAGGAAAGGAGAAAGGCCCAGGAGGGUAACUAGGACACGAACAACAGGAAACAACAAUCCCAUAGUUAUCAAAGUAAAAACUUGGCAGCAGCAUUUCAUUGCCGGUGAUGGUUGGAGCACGGGAAAAACUUGGGGGAUCAGGCUGUACUUGGCAGGGAGAGACCCCGGGACCCGAUUCACCAUCCAAUGGAGACCCAAGAGGGCUUCCCCCGAGGGGAUAGGACCUUCCCUGGAUGUCAUGGGAAUAGGGGUGUAGGAGAACCUGAUCUGGAAAAAGGGGACCCCAGGGGCAACACCACAUUGACUGAGCCCUAGGCUCAGCCCUUGCUCAAUGCAAUAUAAUGGACGUUCUUGUAUUGGAACUUCUCAUUCCAACCUCACAGAGGAUUGCUGGCUCUGCCUCGAUCCCUGACCUCCCUUUUACUUCAGACUGACAUGAAUAGAGAGUCUCAUUAACAUGUCUUCCUCAGUGGGCUGCAGCUGGACUAAAGGAGUUAUAACCCUAUGGAGAUUCAAGGCACCAGGUUAUGUUUAAAAAGCAAUGGGUUUGCAGGGAUGCAAGGAUGGUUUAACAUUCGGAAAUCAAUCAACAUAAUCCAUCAUAUCAACAAAAGUAAAGAUAAAAACCAUAUGAUCAUAUCAAUAGAUGCAGAGAAAGCGUUUGACAAGAUACAACACCCAUUCAUGAUAAAAACUCUCACCAAAAUGGGUUUUGGAGGAACUUUUCUCAAGAUAGUCAAAGCCAUCUACCACGAACUUACGGCAAGCAUUAUCAUCAAUGGAGAAAAACUAAGGGCCUUUCCUCUAAGAUCGGGGACAAGACAAGGAUGUCCACUCUCACCACUUCUCUUUAAUAUAGUACUGGAAGUACUAGCAAUAGCAAUCAGGCAAGAAAAAGAUAUUAAGGGGAUUCAGAUCGGAAAGGAAGAAAUCAAGCUCUCACUAUUCACAGACGAUAUGAUACUAUACCUAGAGAAGCCUAAAAACUCUAGUAAGAAACUCUUAGAAACAAUUGACCUGUACAGUAAAGUCGCAGGCUAUAAAAUCAAUACCCAAAAAUCCAUGGCCUUCCUAUAUGCAAACAAUGAGACAGAGGAAAGGGACAUGAAAAAAGCAAUCCCGUUCACAAUCGUACCCCAGAAAAUCAAAUACCUUGGAAUCAGCUUAACUAAAGAAGUAAAGGACCUCUA